RNAcentral lists this ribosomal RNA (450 nucleotides) under uncultured bacterium. RNAcentral's name for it is "bacterial SSU rRNA". It matches the Rfam family "Bacterial small subunit ribosomal RNA", at positions 9 to 507 of the family's 1533-position model. The record is from RNAcentral.
CGAGUUUGAUCAUGGCUCAGAACGAACGCUGGCGGCAGGCCUAACACAUGCAAGUCGAGCGCCCCGCAAGGGGAGCGGCGGACGGGUGAGUAACGCGUGGGAACGUACCCUUUGCUACGGAAUAGCCUCGGGAAACUGGGAGUAAUACCGUAUGUGCCCUUCGGGGAAAGAUUUAUCGGCAAAGGAUCGGCCCGCGUUGGAUUAGGUAGUUGGUGGGGUAAUGGCCUACCAAGCCGACGAUCCAUAGCUGGUUUGAGAGGAUGAUCAGCCACACUGGGACUGAGACACGGCCCAGACUCCUACGGGAGGCAGCAGUGGGGAAUCUUAGACAAUGGGCGCAAGCCUGAUCUAGCCAUGCCGCGUGAGCGAUGAAGGCCUUAGGGUUGUAAAGCUCUUUCAGUGGGGAAGAUAAUGACUGUACCCACAGAAGAAGCCCCGGCUAACUCCGUG